This 200-nucleotide ribosomal RNA is filed under the name uncultured prokaryote. RNAcentral describes it as "partial 16S ribosomal RNA". It matches the Rfam family "Bacterial small subunit ribosomal RNA", at positions 1182 to 1382 of the family's 1533-position model. The record is from RNAcentral.
AUGUCAAGUCAGCAUGGCUCUUACGAGGUGGGCUACAAACGUACUACAAUGACGCUUACAGAGGGCAGCGACGUCGCAAGACGGAGCCAAUCCUUAAAAAGCGCCUCAGUUCAGAUUGUCGUCUGCAACUCGACGGCAUGAAGUCGGAAUUACUAGUAAUCGCAGAUCAGCAUGCUGCGGUGAAUGCGUUCUCGGGUCUU